GUGGGGAAUAUUGGACAAUGGGCGCAAGCCUGAUCCAGCCAUGCCGCGUGAGUGAUGAAGGCCCUAGGGUUGUAAAGCUCUUUCACCGAUGAAGAUAAUGACGGUAGUCGGAGAAGAAGCCCCGGCUAACUUCGUGCCAGCAGCCGCGGUAAUACGAAGGGGGCUAGCGUUGUUCGGAAUUACUGGGCGUAAAGCGCACGUAGGCGGAUAUUUAAGUCAGGGGUGAAAUCCCAGGGCUCAACUCUGGAACUGCCUUUGAUACUGGGGAUCUCGAGUAUGGAAGAGGUGAGUGGAAUUCCGAGUGUAGAGGUGAAAUUCGUAGAUAUUCGGAGGAACACCAGUGGCGAAGGCGGCUCACUGGUCCAUUACUGACGCUGAGGUGCGAAAGCGUGGGGAGCAAACAGGAUUAGAUACCCUUGUAGUCC
Molecule: ribosomal RNA, 425 nt
Filed under: uncultured bacterium
Lineage: Bacteria
Description: partial 16S ribosomal RNA
Rfam family: Bacterial small subunit ribosomal RNA
Source: RNAcentral